Long non-coding RNA from Drosophila gunungcola (fruit fly), 2618 nucleotides. RefSeq lists it as uncharacterized. The record is from RefSeq and is a predicted model, not a curated record. The transcript is spliced from 2 exons. NCBI's taxonomy places the organism in Eukaryota, Metazoa, Arthropoda, Insecta, Diptera, Drosophilidae.
CAGUUGGUUGCUUCACCUUUAAACCUCUUUGAAAGUUCAAAAAAAUCGAACCUUAGACUUUAUCGGUGAAUAAUUACGCUAAUAAGUAUAUCUUAAGCAUUUAUCCUUUUAUUUAAAUUUUGUUAUAAUAAAGGGUUUCACAUAAAGGGUUACCAGGCCAGAAACCUUUAAUGUUAAUUUUCUCUAUACUUGAAUUAUUUCAUUUUGUUGUUUGCCAAACAAUUUAAAUAUUCUGAAAACUGUUCAAAUUUAUUCAGAAAGCAUUCUAUGGAUUGCGGCUAAAGCCUAAUCGCAAGCUAUUAGCUAUAAUUUAUGGAGUCCUACGGCAGCUCCUCAUGUCAAUAGUACGUCUACAAAAAAAAAUACAAUCACACCCAUAUCCCUUAACUUCGUUCACCCACUGCCAUCAUACUCAAAUAGAUGUCUCCUGGUUCACUUAACUAGCCUUGAGGACCAAAGAAAAAUACAUUCACUACUUUUUUUGAAUGACUUAUUUGCUGGUAGCAUAGACUGCCCAUUACUUCCAUGCCAUGUAGGCCGUUCUUUUAAACCAUUUUUUUAAGAAGCCUUCGGUGGAACUAUGCUGCCAAUAAGCUUCUCUGCCGAAGAAUGCGCUUAUAUAAAAAAUUACCUGCUAGCAUGCGGUUUAGCUUUAGCCGUAAUAAAAGGGCAAUUCGUAACCACCUAUCUGAAUAUUUUAUAAAGUGUUUUAUGUAGUAUAGUAGCCAGUAAUUAACAUGAAUAAUGUUUGGGAAAUAAAUAAAUAAGUAUUGUUAUUAGAAAGCAGACCGCAGAAAAUAAGUUCGUAACGGUAUACUUCGUUUUGAAAACACUGUACAACAUUUUUAAGGUCAUCGAUUCUGAACCAGAUUUUGAAAGUUUCUGCUGAAUUAAUUGCAAAAACUAGAAAUUCUGCAUUAAUUUUUUUUCCAAAUUGGUUCGGGUUUAUAUUUUAUGCUUUUAUCCAUUUUGUUGUUUAAUCAUUUAAUUUGGAAACCUUAUUUGAUAUUUUGAUACUGAUAUAUCUCGUAAACCGAGAGAAAUCAUUUUUUUUGUUCUUUCAGCAAUCUUGUAGAUAUCAAAUGGGUGAAAAAAAAUGCGGAAAAAUUUUAUCUUGUGCCUCAAUAUCGCAAAAAUUUUUAACAAUUAAAAGUUAAAGAGUACAACGAAAGGUUACAGCAAAUGUCUAAAAUAAAUGUGGUCUAUAGUUGAAAAAAUACGAAAAGGAGCGACACAAUUUGUUUAGUGCGGAAUUCACAAAGGUGUUUUGUGAAUAUUUCAAUGAACCUGAUUUAUUUGCUGAAGGUUGUACACCGUGUGCAAAAAAUGCUAAUGAUUGGAAACAUCUGAAACAAGAAAGGAAGCAAACUUCGGCAAUCCGAAGUUUUAAUACCCUAUUGCAAAAAGGAAUAAGUCUUAAAAACAUCUAUUUUCGAUUUAUAUGCGUAUAUGCUAAAACAUUGAAGCUAUAAUGAUUUUCAUUUAAUUAGUCGAUCGUUUCUAUGUCAGCUAUAUAAUAUCGUUUUCCGAUUUCAAUAAAAUUAAAAGCGUAAUUUUGUGAUUAAAAGAACUAAAACAAAAAAUUCACAAUUAAAAAGGUUAAAAUAUGUUUUUCAUUUAUUUUUUAAUAUUCCGGUUGUUUCCAUAGAAGCUAUAUGACAUAGUCGUCAGGUUUUAAUCAAAUUUAAACCGAAAUUCUGAAAAAUUAAACCGUAGCUAUAUUUUUAAAAAAAUAUACAAAAAAAUAAAAAUUAAAGCUAUAAUUUUCUUUCCAUUUUGUUCCCGAUUGUUUCUAUGGGGCAAUAUGCGAUAGUCGUCCGAUCCGACUCGUCCCCACUGAUACCUGCAAUAGGAAGACAACUUUAGGGAAAGUUUCAUGCAGAUAGCUUUGCGUAGAAACGGAAGGACUGACGGACUAUAUCGUUCAAAAAGUCUCCCACUAACACAUACGCAUACUUUCAAAAUAUGACAAUCCAAUCAGUAGGUUACACAGUGCUGUAAGCAAUUUCAUGAUUUAUCAUUGCUUUUUAAUGAACAAAAUAUGUUGUUCAAUGCCAGGAAGGCUUGCAAAUUAUUAUUUGGACUCUGCACCAACAUAAUAAACCAUUUGUUAUUGGUAUGCUGAGCUUAAAUGAGGUCGUUCAGACACCGAUGAUGCUGAGCGCGCUGGACGGCCAAAUGAGGCAGUUAGACCAGCAAACUUGGAAAAAUCACUGAAAAUCAUUAUGGACAACCGUAAAGUUAAAGUGAGGGAGAUUGCUGAUAUUCUGAAUAUAUUAGCAGGCAGAUUGUUCAUUACUUAGACAAUGCUCAGUGUCACAAGUCGAUGAAAACGAUGGCAAAAAUGCAUGAAUUGGAUUACGAAUUGAUGCAGCACCCACCGUAUUCUCCAGAUCUGGCCCCCGGCGUCUACUGGCCUUUUGCAGAACUCAAAAAUUUUAUCCAUGGUAAGAAUUUGCCUCGAAUAAGGCAGUAAUCGCCGAAAGUGAAUCAUAUUUUGAAGGCCUCAACAAAUCGUGACAUAAAAGUGGUAUAGAAAGAUUGAAAAAGUGUUGGAUUGAUUGUAUCGUCCUAUAAGAGGACUAUGUUGAUGAAUAAAAAGGAAUUUUGCCGAAAAA